This 951-nucleotide ribosomal RNA is filed under the name Pratylenchus vulnus (walnut meadow nematode). RNAcentral's name for it is "eukaryotic LSU rRNA". It matches the Rfam family "Eukaryotic large subunit ribosomal RNA", at positions 460 to 985 of the family's 3401-position model. The record is from RNAcentral. Lineage: Eukaryota; Metazoa; Nematoda; Chromadorea; Rhabditida; Pratylenchidae.
ACCCCAGGCUUUACACUUUAUGCUUCCGGCUCGUAUGUUGUGUGGAAUUGUGAGCGGAUAACAAUUUCACACAGGAAACAGCUAUGACCAUGAUUACGCCAAGCUAUUUAGGUGACACUAUAGAAUACUCAAGCUAUGCAUCCAACGCGUUGGGAGCUCUCCCAUAUGGUCGACCUGCAGGCGGCCGCGAAUUCACUAGUGAUUAUGAGAUCGAAACGGAUAGAGUCAGCGUAUCUGACCUGUAUUCAGCCAUCCAAUUGCCAGUCGUCAUGUGUUGAUUUCCAGACUGGGACAGUGUGUGGCUAGCUGAUUGUUGUGUGGUGCAUUUGCAGGUGGAGUGCGUCGAGACGCUCGGUGUGGCGACAUGAGCUCAGUUUUGAGGCCAGCUUGCUGGUACCCGAAUUGGAGGAAUGUUGUUCACGCUGAGUGGAAUUGGCAAGGCCUACGAGUCCGGUUGGGCAUCGAGCUGGCAGUCGGCGUCGGUCGCAUGCGACACGUGCUGUGCAGUCAGUUCGGUCCUAGUCGAGCUCACAAGCCUAAUCUCGGCGUAAAAGCUGGUCAUCUAUCCGACCCGUCUUGAAACACGGACCAAGGAGUUUAUCGUGUGCGCAAGUCAUUGGGCGUUGAAAACCCAAAGGCGCAAUGAAAGUGAACGCAUCCGCAAGGAGCUGACGUGCGAUCCCGGGUACUGCGGUGCCCGAGCGCAGCAUGGCCCCAUCCCGAUUGCUUGCAAUGGGGUGGAGGAAGAGCGUACGCGGUGAGACCCGAAAGAUGGUGAACUAUUCCUGAGCAGGAUGAAGCCAGAGGAAACUCUGGUGGAAGUCCGAAGCGAUUCUGACGUGCAAAUCGAUCGUCUGACUUGGGUAUAGGGGCGAAAGACUAAUCGAACCAUCUAGUAGCUGGUUCCUUCCGAAAUCGAAUUCCCGCGGCCGCCAUGGCGGCCGGAGCAUG